UGCUCCAUCAUUAUUCACACUCAUACCUCUGUGUGUGUUGUUUUAAAGCCCAGAGCUGUGGGGCGUACCAGGCUCAGCUGGACAUAACCCUGAAACUAAUCCAGAACCUGGACCUGAACCCAGCUGUGUUUCCUUAAAGAGCAACGUGUCGAAGGAUAUUCCUGAAAACUUUAACAAAAGUCUGUUAUGUGACAAAGAGAUCAAUAAGAGGCCAGAAUCUCCUGGACCUGAACCCAGCUGUGUGUCUCUAAAGAGCAACGAGUCGAAGGGUACUCCUGAAAACUUUAAAGGCUGUUCUUCUGCUGCUGAGAGGUAAUGUGUGUCUAGAUGUUGUUCCUGACUCUGUAUUUUUGAAUAAAUCCUCAUGUUUAA
Molecule: long non-coding RNA, 372 nt
Organism: Pundamilia nyererei
Lineage: Eukaryota; Metazoa; Chordata; Actinopteri; Cichliformes; Cichlidae
Exons: 2
Source: RefSeq, a predicted model, not a curated record